UCUCAUUUUGUAUCGGCACAACCAAUAAUUCACAAGAUCAUCUAAUCCACAUAGGCAAAGGAAGAUUUUUCGUAGUAAAAUUCAGUAUAGUGGAGGGAAAGGAAGGUUUUUCGUUGUAAAAUUCACUACACUAGAGGGAAAAAGUUUCAAUGUUAUUAUCUAAUUGUUUCAUGGUUUUCUUAGUCAUGACUUUCUUUUCUCUACCAGCUUUAGGGGGAGGUCCAUCUAAUUUGACUUUGCCCUGGGCUGUCUGCAGGUGGGUUAAACAACCAGAUUUGGUGGAUUAGUUGGACUUGUAAAUAAUUUUUUCUGAUCCCAACACACUUUAUAUAGAGAAGUAGUAUUUCUUCAUAUUGUUACUUUUUUUGUUUGCUUUUGUGCUUAUUGCUCAUAUUGUUAAAUGUUUGUUGGGGCCAGUUCUUUUGGGCAAUUCUCCCAGAAUUGACCCCCUCCCCAGCUUCUCCCAGAAUUGCUACUCCAUCCUUUUUUACAAUUCCUAGCUAGUUAAGGUCUAAUUAGCUAGGAAUUGUAAAAAAAGAUGGAGUGGCAAUUCUGGGAGAAGCUGGGGAGGGGGUCAAUUCUGGGAGAAUUGCCCAAAAGAACUGGCCCUGACUCUUCUUUCUCUGGUCACCUUCAGUGCACAUGUUUCUUCAUUAUUUCAGUAACUACCUUCUCAUUGUUCCGCCUUCAUUUCUCAAAUCCAUGCUUAUCAGUUAUCCCUCUGUAUGCAUCAGUGAUCAAUAUUUCUCUUCAGCCUCAUUAUUUCUUUUCGAGAGUGCGCCAAAGGCUUACCUUAGCUUUAUAGAAGGAAGGAGUGAUAUUUACAAGUCAGCCUCAUUAUUUCAUUAAGUCCCUGCUCUACCCAGCCUUCAUAAAUUCAGUAUGCCCCUGUGCAUUAUGUAUAAAGACUUUUUUGAGCAUUCUUAUUUUUUAUCUUUUUGUUUCACCAGGAGGUUUUAUUACUAACCAGAGGAAGUUUCUUCUCCCACUUCGUUUUAGCGCAUGUUGUUUCAGAUGUGUUAUGUAAUAGUACUACAUAGAAGAGUUUUUUGCUUCAAGAAGUGUUAUGUAAUAGCAUAAAAACUACAUAAAUAGUUCGUUCUGUUCUGUUUUUUUUUCACUAGACAUUGAUGCUAUUUGUGCUCUUUAGCAGUGACACCAUAGUCAGUUAGCAUUUUCUGUCUUUUAGCUACACUGAGCCUUUGAUUUGUUUGUACCAUUAGGCUGUAGGGAAAUAUUACUAUAUGUAACAUGUAUUUUUUUUGUUCUUAUAAGAUGUUGUUUCUCAUUUCUGAAAUUUAUUUCUUGAUGCAGCUUCAUUCGGAUUUAUGUGAAUAUAAGCGUAAGAGGUCCACUGGGAAUGAUACAAAAUAAUUUCAGACGUGAGUAUCCGGAUCGCAUUGCUACUGGUCGUCUCUUGCGAUGGCGUACAGCGGGCUUUUGACAAAGCCAAGUCAUGGCCUCAUGAGGAUGCUUUUGGAUUAACUGUAGUGCAUUGUACCGUUUUAUGCUCCAUGCGAGAGUUGUACAUAUCCUCAUUAGAUGUACCCCUGCCUAUGAUGGUUCUGAACUCAAAUAUUAGAGUAUCUGUAUAUUUGAUCAAUGUGGUACUAUUAUAUCCUAAUGUUAUAACAUAUAUGCCCGUAUUGAUAUACAUGAGUGUGAUUAAGAACAAAACAUGGCAGCCCAAUGUGUUGAAACAAGAUAAGUGCGC
RNAcentral lists this long non-coding RNA (1714 nucleotides) under Triticum aestivum (bread wheat). Its description in RNAcentral is "long non-coding RNA (TAES_LNC025289)". Lineage: Eukaryota; Viridiplantae; Streptophyta; Magnoliopsida; Poales; Poaceae. The record is from RNAcentral.